GGCCCCAUCGUCUAGCCCGGCCUAGGACAUCAGAUUUUCAUUCUGGUAACAGGGGUUCGAAUCCCCUUGGGGUCA
Molecule: transfer RNA, 75 nt
Filed under: Chlamydiae bacterium GWA2_50_15
Lineage: Bacteria; Pseudomonadati; Chlamydiota
Also listed under: 8 other names
Description: tRNA-Glu
Rfam family: tRNA
About the family: Transfer RNA (tRNA) molecules are approximately 80 nucleotides in length.
Source: RNAcentral